GCACAAGUAGCUAAACAUCACCUUCAGCGAGGGGCAACUGAAAGAAGGCAGAUUUGCGAACUUCUUCCAAGAGAAAGAAAGAAGAUGAUCAUCAAGUGAGACUGAACCACGUGCCCACCACAAAACCCCAGAGGCAGUUGCCGGUGGUCAUUCCGCGUGCCUCCUUCCUAACGCCCUAUUUCAACUGGCUCUGCUCCCCGCAAAUACUCUACCAACGCCCUCCAGUAGCACGCCCAGGCCUGCUGCAACUGCUUUCUACCUCAAGCGGUGGCUGCCCUGAAAUGCUUUACUUUCGAUUUUCACCGUGUCGCUGCUGUUCUGGAGUCCAGAUUGGAACCUUCUGAGGAAACUCUGGCCAGAUCUAAAAUAAGUUGUGUGAUCACAAGGAGAGAGAUGCAAAACUUCAUGAACAGAGUGACAGAUACAGAGACAGACAAGGAGGAAGUGAGAUGUGGAGACAGUUCAAGAUUAUACGUAAUGGAAGCAGAAUAGUUUGGGGAAAGAUCUGGAGUUGAGAGCCUGAGUGUCUGGCUUAAACCCUUGCUCUGUAACCUGGGACAAAUACUUAUCCAAAAGAUGAAGGUAACCACACUGAUGAGGAAAAAGAAUAAAGUUUCUGAAGUGCUUAAACACACUCAGGAUUGCCUAAGUUUUAU
Heterocephalus glaber (naked mole-rat) is the source of this 656-nucleotide long non-coding RNA. The record is from Ensembl. NCBI's taxonomy places the organism in Eukaryota, Metazoa, Chordata, Mammalia, Rodentia, Bathyergidae.